This 484-nucleotide ribosomal RNA is filed under the name uncultured bacterium. RNAcentral describes it as "partial 16S ribosomal RNA". It matches the Rfam family "Bacterial small subunit ribosomal RNA", at positions 30 to 507 of the family's 1533-position model. The record is from RNAcentral.
AUUGAACGCUGGCGGCAUGCCUUACACAUGCAAGUCGAACGGUAACAGGUCUUUCGGGAUGCUGACGAGUGGCGAACGGGUGAGUAAUACAUCGGAACGUGCCUAGUAGUGGGGGAUAGCUACUCGAAAGAGUGGCUAAUACCGCAUGAGAUCUAUGGAUGAAAGCAGGGGACCUUUGGGCCUUGUGCUACUAGAGCGGCCGAUGGCAGAUUAGGUAGUUGGUGGGAUAAAAGCUUACCAAGCCUACGAUCUGUAGCUGGUCUGAGAGGACGAUCAGCCACACUGGGACUGAGACACGGCCCAGACUCCUACGGGAGGCAGCAGUGGGGAAUUUUGGACAAUGGGCGCAAGCCUGAUCCAGCAAUGCCGCGUGCAGGAUGAAGGCCUUCGGGUUGUAAACUGCUUUUGUACGGAACGAAAAGUCUUGGGUUAAUACCCUGGGAUCAUGACGGUACCGUAAGAAUAAGCACCGGCUAACUACGUG